CAAGUCUGCUGCGCAGUAUGCAUGCAGCCAUGCCGCGUGUGUGAAGAAGCCUUCGGGUUGUAAGCACUUUCAGCGAUGAGGAAAGGUUGGUAGCUAAUAACUGCCAGCUGUGACGUUACUCGCAGAAGAAGCACCGGCUAACUCCGUGCCAGCAGCCGCGGUAAUA
Molecule: ribosomal RNA, 166 nt
Filed under: uncultured Aeromonas sp.
Lineage: Bacteria; Pseudomonadati; Pseudomonadota; Gammaproteobacteria; Aeromonadales; Aeromonadaceae
Description: partial 16S ribosomal RNA
Rfam family: Bacterial small subunit ribosomal RNA
Source: RNAcentral